GACGAACGCUGGCGGCGUGCUUAAUACAUGCAAGUCGAGCGAGGUUACUGUUUCGGAGCCCUUCGGGGUGAAGAAGCUUUAACCUAGCGGCGGACGGGUGAGUAACGCGUGGGUAACCUACCCCAAAGUCCGGGAUAACAGCGGGAAACCGCUGCUAAUACCGGAUGCCUUUACCUUGGGGCAUCUUGAGGUAAAGAAAGGUAACGCUUUGGGAUGGGCCCGCGUCCCAUUAGCUAGUUGGUGAGGUAACGGCUCACCAAGGCGACGAUGGGUAGCCGGCCUGAGAGGGUGGACGGCCACACUGGGACUGAGACACGGCCCAGACUCCUACGGGAGGCAGCAGUAGGGAAUAUUGCGCAAUGGACGGAAGUCUGACGCAGCGACGCCGCGUGAGCGAUGAAGGUCUUCGGAUCGUAAAGCUCUGUCCUUGGGGAAGAAGGCGAAAGCUUGACGGUACCCAAGAAGAAAGCCCCGGCUAACUACGUGCCAGCAGCCGCGGUAAUACGUAGGGGGCGAGCGUUGUCCGGAAUUACUGGGCGUAAAGGGUGCGUAGGCGGCCCUUUAAGUCGGAUGUGAAAGCCCGCGGCUUAACCGCGGAAUGGCAUUCGAAACUGGAGGGCUUGAGUGUCGGAGAGGGUAGUGGAAUUCCCAGUGUAGCGGUGAAAUGCGUAGAUAUUGGGGAGGAACACCAGUGGCGAAGGCGACUACCUGGACGAUAACUGACGCUGAGGCACGAAAGCUAGGGGAGCAAACAGG
Molecule: ribosomal RNA, 756 nt
Filed under: uncultured bacterium
Lineage: Bacteria
Description: bacterial SSU rRNA
Rfam family: Bacterial small subunit ribosomal RNA
Source: RNAcentral